This 103-nucleotide ribosomal RNA is filed under the name Diaphorina citri (Asian citrus psyllid). The record is from RNAcentral. Lineage: Eukaryota; Metazoa; Arthropoda; Insecta; Hemiptera; Psyllidae.
GCCAGGGGCGAUAGAACGUAAAGUGCAUCGUUGAAGUUAAGCAACGUUGCGCGUUGUUAGUAAUCGGAUGGGUGACCAUCUGAGCAAUAGCGUGCUGCUUGCU